AGCGUACACGGUGGAUGCCUAGGCAGUCAGAGGCGAUGAAGGGCGUGCUAAUCUGCGAAAAGCGUCGGUAAGCUGAUAUGAAGCGUUAUAACCGACGAUACCCGAAUGGGGAAACCCAGUGCAAUACGUUGCACUAUCGUUAGAUGAAUACAUAGUCUAACGAGGCGAACCGGGGGAACUGAAACAUCUAAGUACCCCGAGGAAAAGAAAUCAACCGAGAUUCCCCCAGUAGCGGCGAGCGAACGGGGAGGAGCCCAGAGUCUGAAUCAGUUUGUGUGUUAGUGGAAGCGUCUGGAAAGUCGCACGGUACAGGGUGAUAGUCCCGUACACCAAAAUGCACAGGCUGUGAACUCGAUGAGUAGGGCGGGACACGUGACAUCCUGUCUGAAUAUGGGGGGACCAUCCUCCAAGGCUAAAUACUCCUGACUGACCGAUAGUGAACCAGUACCGUGAGGGAAAGGCGAAAAGAACCCCGGCGAGGGGAGUGAAAUAGAACCUGAAACCGUGUACGUACAAGCAGUGGGAGCACCUUCGUGGUGUGACUGCGUACCUUUUGUAUAAUGGGUCAGCGACUUAUAUUUUGUAGCAAGGUUAACCGAAUAGGGGAGCCGUAGGGAAACCGAGUCUUAACUGGGCGUCUAGUUGCAAGGUAUAGACCCGAAACCCGGUGAUCUAGCCAUGGGCAGGUUGAAGGUUGGGUAACACUAACUGGAGGACCGAACCGACUAAUGUUGAAAAAUUAGCGGAUGACUUGUGGCUGGGGGUGAAAGGCCAAUCAAACCGGGAGAUAGCUGGUUCUCCCCGAAAGCUAUUUAGGUAGCGCCUCGUGAACUCAUCUUCGGGGGUAGAGCACUGUUUCGGCUAGGGGGCCAUCCCGGCUUACCAAACCGAUGCAAACUCCGAAUACCGAAGAAUGUUAUCACGGGAGACACACGGCGGGUGCUAACGUCCGUCGUGAAGAGGGAAACAACCCAGACCGCCAGCUAAGGUCCCAAAGUCAUGGUUAAGUGGGAAACGAUGUGGGAAGGCACAGACAGCCAGGAUGUUGGCUUAGAAGCAGCCAUCAUUUAAAGAAAGCGUAAUAGCUCACUGGUCGAGUCGGCCUGCGCGGAAGAUGUAACGGGGCUAAACCAUGCACCGAAGCUGCGGCAGCGACGUUUAGGCGUUGUUGGGUAGGGGAGCGUUCUGUAAGCCGUUGAAGGUGACCUGUGAGGGUUGCUGGAGGUAUCAGAAGUGCGAAUGCUGACAUAAGUAACGAUAAUGCGGGUGAAAAACCCGCACGCCGGAAGACCAAGGGUUCCUGUCCAACGUUAAUCGGGGCAGGGUGAGUCGACCCCUAAGGCGAGGCUGAAAAGCGUAGUCGAUGGGAAACAGGUUAAUAUUCCUGUACUUGGUGUUACUGCGAAGGGGGGACGGAGAAGGCUAGGCUGGCCGGGCGACGGUUGUCCCGGUUUAAGCGUGUAGGGGGAGUGACCAGGUAAAUCCGGUUGCUUAUCAACCCUGAGGCGUGAUGACGAUGCACCACGGUGCAGAAGCAGUUGAUGCCAUGCUUCCAGGAAAAGCCUCUAAGCAUCAGGUAACAUUAAAUCGUACCCCAAACCGACACAGGUGGUCAGGUAGAGAAUACUCAGGCGCUUGAGAGAACUCGGGUGAAGGAACUAGGCAAAAUGGUGCCGUAACUUCGGGAGAAGGCACGCUGGCGUUAGGUGAAAGGACUAGCUCCUGGAGCUGAAGCCAGUCGCAGAUACCAGCUGGCUGCAACUGUUUAAUAAAAACACAGCACUGUGCAAACACGAAAGUGGACGUAUACGGUGUGACGCCUGCCCGGUGCUGGAAGGUUAAUUGAUGGGGUCAGCCGCAAGGCGAAGCUCUUGAUCGAAGCCCCAGUAAACGGCGGCCGUAACUAUAACGGUCCUAAGGUAGCGAAAUUCCUUGUCGGGUAAGUUCCGACCUGCACGAAUGGCGUAAUGAUGGCCAGGCUGUCUCCACCCGAGACUCAGUGAAAUUGAACUCGCUGUGAAGAUGCAGUGUACCCGCGGCAAGACGGAAAGACCCCGUGAACCUUUACUAUAGCUUGACACUGAACAUUGAGCCUUGAUGUGUAGGAUAGGUGGGAGGCCUUGAAGUGUGGACGCCAGUCUGCAUGGAGCCAACCUUGAAAUACCACCCUUUAAUGUUUGAUGUUCUAACUCGGCCCCAUGAUCUGGGGUGAGGACAGUGUCUGGUGGGUAGUUUGACUGGGGCGGUCUCCUCCCAAAGAGUAACGGAGGAGCACGAAGGUUAGCUAAUCACGGUCGGACAUCGUGAGGUUAGUGCAAAGGCAUAAGCUAGCUUGACUGCGAGAGUGACGGCUCGAGCAGGUACGAAAGUAGGUCUUAGUGAUCCGGUGGUUCUGAAUGGAAGGGCCAUCGCUCAACGGAUAAAAGGUACUCCGGGGAUAACAGGCUGAUACCGCCCAAGAGUUCAUAUCGACGGCGGUGUUUGGCACCUCGAUGUCGGCUCAUCACAUCCUGGGGCUGAAGUAGGUCCCAAGGGUAUGGCUGUUCGCCAUUUAAAGUGGUACGCGAGCUGGGUUUAGAACGUCGUGAGACAGUUCGGUCCCUAUCUGCCGUGGGCGUUGGAAGAUUGAGAGGGGCUGCUCCUAGUACGAGAGGACCGGAGUGGACGAAUCACUGGUGUUCGGGUUGUCAUGCCAAUGGCAUUGCCCGGUAGCUAAAUUCGGAAGAGAUAACCGCUGAAAGCAUCUAAGCGGGAAACUUGCCUCGAGAUGAGUCUUCCCUGGGGCUUAAAGCCCCCUGAAGGAACGUUAAAGACUAUGACGUUGAUAGGCUGGGUGUGUAAGUGCAGCGAUGUAUUGAGCUAACCAGUACUAAUGAUCCGUGAGGCUUAACC
This 2892-nucleotide ribosomal RNA is filed under the name Yersinia pestis. Its description in RNAcentral is "bacterial LSU rRNA". It matches the Rfam family "Bacterial large subunit ribosomal RNA". Lineage: Bacteria; Pseudomonadati; Pseudomonadota; Gammaproteobacteria; Enterobacterales; Yersiniaceae. The record is from RNAcentral.